UGGGGAAUAUUGGACAAUGGGCGCAAGCCUGAUCCAGCCAUGCCGCGUGGGUGAAGAAGGCCUUCGGGUUGUAAAGCCCUUUUGUUGGGGAAGAAAUCGUACGGGCGAAUAUCCCGUGCGGAUGACGGUACCCAAAGAAUAAGCACCGGCUAACUUCGUGCCAGCAGCCGCGGUAAUACGAAGGGUGCAAGCGUUACUCGGAAUUACUGGGCGUAAAGCGUGCGUAGGCGGUUUGUUAAGUCCGCUGUGAAAGCCCUGGGCUCAACCUGGGAAUUGCAGUGGAUACUGGCAAGCUAGAGUGCGGUAGAGGAUGGUGGAAUUCCCGGUGUAGCGGUGAAAUGCGUAGAGAUCGGGAGGAACACCCGUGGCGAAGGCGGCCAUCUGGACCAGCACUGACGCUGAGGCACGAAAGCGUGGGGAGCAAACAG
Molecule: ribosomal RNA, 428 nt
Filed under: uncultured bacterium
Lineage: Bacteria
Description: bacterial SSU rRNA
Rfam family: Bacterial small subunit ribosomal RNA
Source: RNAcentral